RNAcentral lists this ribosomal RNA (491 nucleotides) under uncultured bacterium. Its description in RNAcentral is "partial 16S ribosomal RNA". It matches the Rfam family "Bacterial small subunit ribosomal RNA", at positions 28 to 507 of the family's 1533-position model. The record is from RNAcentral.
GAUGAACGCUAGCUACAGGCUUAACACAUGCAAGUCGAGGGGAAACGACAUUGAAGCUUGCUUCGAUGGUCGUCGACCGGCGCACGGGUGAGUAACGCGUAUCCAACCUGCCUCUGACCAAGGGAUAACCCGUCGAAAGUCGGCCUAAUACCUUAUGCAGUCGUCGGAAGUCAUCUGAUGACGACGAAAGAUUUCAUCGGUGAGAGAUGGGGAUGCGUCUGAUUAGCUUGUUGGCGGGGUAACGGCCCACCAAGGCAACGAUCAGUAGGGGUUCUGAGAGGAAGGUCCCCCCCAUUGGAACUGAGACACGGUCCAAACUCCUACGGGAGGCAGCAGUGAGGAAUAUUGGUCAAUGGGCGAGAGCCUGAACCAGCCAAGUAGCGUGCAGGAUGACGGCCCUAUGGGUUGUAAACUGCUUUUAUGCGGGGAUAAAGUGAGGGACGUGUCCUUCAUUGCAGGUACCGCAUGAAUAAGGACCGGCUAAUUCCGUG